RNAcentral lists this ribosomal RNA (493 nucleotides) under uncultured bacterium. Its description in RNAcentral is "bacterial SSU rRNA". It matches the Rfam family "Bacterial small subunit ribosomal RNA", at positions 29 to 518 of the family's 1533-position model. The record is from RNAcentral.
AUGAACGCUAGCGACAGGCCUAACACAUGCAAGUCAGGGGCAGCACAAGGAGCAAUCUGAGGUGGCGACCGGCGCACGGGUGAGUAACACGUAUGCAACCUGCCUGUAAGCGGGGAAUAACCCGUUGAAAGACGGACUAAUACCGCAUAAUACUAAAUUACUGCAUGGUAAUUUAUUUAAACAUUUAUGGCUUACAGAUGGGCAUGCGCAUGAUUAGCUAGUUGGAGAGGUAACGGCUCCCCAAGGCAACGAUCAUUAGGGGUUCUGAGAGGAAGGUCCCCCACACUGGUACUGAGACACGGACCAGACUCCUACGGGAGGCAGCAGUGAGGAAUAUUGGUCAAUGGACGAGAGUCUGAACCAGCCAAGUCGCGUGCAGGAAGAAUGUCCUAUGGAUUGUAAACUGCUUUUGCAGGGGAAUAAAGUGCAUCACGUGUGAUGUUCUGUAUGUACUCUGCGAAUAAGGAUCGGCUAACUCCGUGCCAGCCGCUGC